This 496-nucleotide ribosomal RNA is filed under the name uncultured bacterium. Its description in RNAcentral is "partial 16S ribosomal RNA". It matches the Rfam family "Bacterial small subunit ribosomal RNA", at positions 29 to 507 of the family's 1533-position model. The record is from RNAcentral.
AUGAACGCUGGCGGCGUGCCUAAUACAUGCAAGUCGAGCGAACGGACGAGAAGCUUGCUUCUCUGAUGUUAGCGGCGGACGGGUGAGUAACACGUGGAUAACCUACCUAUAAGACUGGGAUAACUUCGGGAAACCGGAGCUAAUACCGGAUAAUAUUUUGACCCGCAUGGUUCAAAAGUGAAAGACGGUCUUGCUGUCACUUAUAGAUGGAUCCGCGCUGCAUUAGCUAGUUGGUAAGGUAACGGCUUACCAAGGCAACGAUGCAUAGCCGACCUGAGAGGGUGAUCGGCCACACUGGAACUGAGACACGGUCCAGACUCCUACGGGAGGCAGCAGUAGGGAAUCUUCCGCAAUGGGCGAAAGCCUGACGGAGCAACGCCGCGUGAGUGAUGAAGGUCUUCGGAUCGUAAAACUCUGUUAUUAGGGAAGAACAUAUGUGUAAGUAACUGUGCACAUCUUGACGGUACCUAAUCAGAAAGCCACGGCUAACUACGUG